GAUCAUUUUAUAACCUUCACUACCUCCCAGUGCCUUAGCAGUCAUCACCACCAACAAUCCCUACAGCAAUCAGAUAAUGGAGACUCUUCCGGAAAUCCAGUUCAGUCUUCGUGAGUAUUCCUCACUGAUCAUUCACAAUGGACCCAGCCUAAUGACCACUCUGUCUGUUGGGGAGAUCCCUUCUGAGACGAUACCCCUCUGCUGACCCUCCGAGGACCUGAGUUGGAAGAGCUGACAGGACUGCAGAUGAAAAUAGAAGUCUGUGGAUGUGGCGUAAGUGUGCGGAAGAGAAACAGAUCACUCAGAAAUGCUCUGCUCAGAAAUCCACUGUGCUUCUCUGAAAACUGAUCUAAGAAGACUUUCCUUGCUAAGAUGUUAAGAUAUGGGUGAUGAUGUAAAUGUUUCAGGACAAUUUGAAGGGUUAGAGCUUGGAUUAAGAAGCAAUUCCUUUCUCCUAACUCAGUCCCUGCCGCUUGGAUGCUACUGUUCAGAGGGUGUAUGAGGUCACAGAGGAGCAAGAAUCUGGAGCAAAUGUUACCAUGGCUACCACUUAUUGAGGACUUUGUGCCUGGAACUGUGCCAAGCCCAUUAUGUGCAUUAUCUCAUUUACCUUGACAACUCUUAGGGUUACGUAACAUUAAUGUUCUUAUUUUAAUAGAGAGGUUGAGUAGCUCGCUCAAGAACACAUUCUUAGCUUGCAAAAGUGAAACCCCUUCCCACAAGCACUGUGCUUUCUAGUAAGACUGUCUCCUUAGUCAAGUCCAAGGAUAAUGGGGCUGGAGGGUAGAACCUAGAGGCGAAGGUUUGAGUCACCUUGACGGGAUUCCCUGAAGAGAGGGGGCAAAAGACCCAGGACUCUAUCCUGGGUAGCGGAAAGGCGUGGACUCUGAGGUCAGAGACCUGGUUCAAAUACUGCUCUGGCACUUAGAACUGUGCCCUCAACAGGCAAGGUAUUCAACCCAUUUAGCCUGCUCCUCACCUAUCAGAUGGUAAUAAUAAUGAUGUCCAAAAGAUCUCCCUCCCUAAUUUGGUUCUCAUACUGUAUCCCUUAUUUGUAGGGUAUGUAUGUGUAUAUGGCACAUAAGAAGUGCCACCAAAAUGGUAUUUAUUAUUUGCAAUUCACUCAUUUAUUCACAUGACAAAUAAUUAUUGAGAGACUACUCAGUUAAUGUAUUGAUUAUUGAUCUUACUCCACAAGCACAGUGCCUGGGGCUUAAGAGCUUUUUAAGUGCUUCUAAGAAUAUUUGAUACCUAAAAUUAAAUUCUAAGACAGGAAGCAACUUCCUAUAGAUUCGAAGUUAAUAAAUGUUAAAAUUAAGUGUUCACUGAACUAGUAUGUCAACCAGUCAGCUGUUGACAAUUUAACUCUUUUAUGUUUAUGUAUAAAUAAUAAUUUUUGUACUACAUGAACAAAAUGAAGAAUUU
Manis pentadactyla (Chinese pangolin) is the source of this 1425-nucleotide long non-coding RNA. RefSeq lists it as uncharacterized. The record is from RefSeq and is a predicted model, not a curated record. Lineage: Eukaryota; Metazoa; Chordata; Mammalia; Pholidota; Manidae. The transcript has 4 exons.